RNAcentral lists this ribosomal RNA (497 nucleotides) under uncultured bacterium. RNAcentral describes it as "partial 16S ribosomal RNA". It matches the Rfam family "Bacterial small subunit ribosomal RNA", at positions 28 to 507 of the family's 1533-position model. The record is from RNAcentral.
GACGAACGCUGGCGGCGUGCCUAAUACAUGCAAGUUGAGCGCUGAAGGUUGGUACUUGUACCAACUGGAUGAGCAGCGAACGGGUGAGUAACGCGUGGGGAAUCUGCCUUUGAGCGGGGGACAACAUUUGGAAACGAAUGCUAAUACCGCAUAAAAACUUUAAACACAAGUUUUAAGUUUGAAAGAUGCAAUUGCAUCACUCAAAGAUGAUCCCGCGUUGUAUUAGCUAGUUGGUGAGGUAAAGGCUCACCAAGGCGAUGAUACAUAGCCGACCUGAGAGGGUGAUCGGCCACAUUGGGACUGAGACACGGCCCAAACUCCUACGGGGAGCAGCAGUAGGGAAUCUUCCGCCAUGGACGAAAGUCUGGCCGAGCAACGCCGCGUGAGUGAAGAAGGUUUUCGGAUCGUAAAACUCUGUUGGUAGGGAAGGACGUUGGUGAGAGUGGAAAGCUCAUCAAGUGACGGUAACUACCCAGAAAGGGACGGCUAACUACGUG